GCGGCGCUGGGGCGCCGGGAUCCGGCCCGUCUUCAAGACGGUCGACACCUGCGCCGGCGAGUUCCCCGCCCACACGCCGUACCA
This 84-nucleotide transfer RNA is filed under the name Pseudoclavibacter endophyticus. Its description in RNAcentral is "tRNA-Sec". The record is from RNAcentral. Lineage: Bacteria; Bacillati; Actinomycetota; Actinomycetes; Micrococcales; Microbacteriaceae.